UACAGAGGGUGCAAGCGUUGUUCGGAAUUAUUGGGCGUAAAGCGCGUGUAGGCGGCUUGGCAAGUCGGGUGUGAAAUCCCUCAGCUUAACUGAGGAAGUGCGCCCGAAACUGCUUGGCUUGAGUACCGGAGAGGGUGGCGGAAUUCCCGAAGUAGAGGUGAAAUUCGUAGAUAUCGGGAGGAACACCGGUGGCGAAGGCGGCCACCUGGACGGAUACUGACGCUGAGACGCGAAAGCGUGGGUAGCAAAC
This 250-nucleotide ribosomal RNA is filed under the name uncultured bacterium. RNAcentral's name for it is "partial 16S ribosomal RNA". It matches the Rfam family "Bacterial small subunit ribosomal RNA", at positions 524 to 773 of the family's 1533-position model. The record is from RNAcentral.